GAUGAGCAUGCGUCCCAUUAGCUUGUUGGUAAGGUAACGGCUUACCAGGGCAACGACGGGUAGGGGUCCUGAGAGGGAGAUCCCCCACACUGGUACUGAGACACGGACCAGACUCCUACGGGAGGCAGCAGUGAGGAAUAUUGGUCAAUGGGCGCAAGCCUGAACCAGCCAUGCCGCGUGCAGGAUGAAGCAUCUAUGGUGUGUAAACUGCUUUUGUACGAGAAGAAACACUCCUUCGUGAAGGAGCUUGACGGUAUCGUAAGAAUAAGGACCGGCUAACUCCGUGCCAGCAGCCGCGGUAAUACGGAGGGCCCAAGCGUUAUCCGGAAUCAUUGGGUUUAAAGGGUCCGUAGGCGGUUUUGUAAGUCAGUGGUGAAAGCCCAUCGCUCAACGGUGGAACGGCCAUUGAUACUGCAAGACUUGAAUUAUUGGGAAGCAACUAGGAUAUGUAGUGUAGCGGUGAAAUGCUUAGAGAUUACAUGGAAUACCAAUUGCGAAGGCAGGUUGCUACCAAUACAUUGACGCUGAUGGACGAAAGCGUGGGGAGCG
This 549-nucleotide ribosomal RNA is filed under the name uncultured Bacteroidota bacterium. Its description in RNAcentral is "bacterial SSU rRNA". It matches the Rfam family "Bacterial small subunit ribosomal RNA", at positions 224 to 770 of the family's 1533-position model. Lineage: Bacteria; Pseudomonadati; Bacteroidota. The record is from RNAcentral.